CCUACGGGUGGCAGCAGUGAGGAAUAUUGGGCAAUGGCCGGAAGGCUGAACCAGCCAUGCCGCGUGAAUGUCAGAGCCCUUUGGGUGUUAAACUUCUUUUGUGCGGGAGGAAUAAUGGUCAAGUGUAGCAAGACGAGAGUAACGUAAGAAUAAGAAUCAGCUAACCCCGUGACAGCGGCAGCAGUAGUACGGGGGAUGCAAGCGUUAUCCGGAUUUAGUAGGGUUGAAGGGUGAGUAGGCUGGGAUGUAAGUCAACGGUGAAAUUGCCCCGGGCAACGGGGUGAAGUGCCAUUGAUACUGGCUUGCUUGAGUGCGGAUGCGGUGGGAGGAAUGCGUGGUGUAGCGGUGAAAUGCGUAGAGAU
Molecule: ribosomal RNA, 362 nt
Filed under: uncultured bacterium
Lineage: Bacteria
Description: partial 16S ribosomal RNA
Rfam family: Bacterial small subunit ribosomal RNA
Source: RNAcentral